GGUUAAGCGACUAAGCGUACACGGUGGAUGCCCUGGCAGUCAGAGGCGAUGAAGGACGUGCUAAUCUGCGAUAAGCGUCGGUGAGGUGAUAUGAACCGUUAUAACCGGCGAUUUCCGAAUGGGGAAACCCAGUGUGUUUCGACACACUAUCAUUAACUGAAUCCAUAGGUUAAUGAGGCGAACCGGGGGAACUGAAACAUCUAAGUACCCCGAGGAAAAGAAAUCAACCGAGAUUCCCCCAGUAGCGGCGAGCGAACGGGGAGGAGCCCAGAGCCUGAAUCAGUGUGUGUGUUAGUGGAAGCGUCUGGAAAGGCGCGCGAUACAGGGUGACAGCCCCGUACACAAAAAUGCACAUAUUGUGAGCUCGAUGAGUAGGGCGGGACACGUGGUAUCCUGUCUGAAUAUGGGGGGACCAUCCUCCAAGGCUAAAUACUCCUGACUGACCGAUAGUGAACCAGUACCGUGAGGGAAAGGCGAAAAGAACCCCGGCGAGGGGAGUGAAAAAGAACCUGAAACCGUGUACGUACAAGCAGUGGGAGCCUCUUAAUGGGGUGACUGCGUACCUUUUGUAUAAUGGGUCAGCGACUUAUAUUCUGUAGCAAGGUUAACCGAAUAGGGGAGCCGAAGGGAAACCGAGUCUUAACUGGGCGUUAAGUUGCAGGGUAUAGACCCGAAACCCGGUGAUCUAGCCAUGGGCAGGUUGAAGGUUGGGUAACACUAACUGGAGGACCGAACCGACUAAUGUUGAAAAAUUAGCGGAUGACUUGUGGCUGGGGGUGAAAGGCCAAUCAAACCGGGAGAUAGCUGGUUCUCCCCGAAAGCUAUUUAGGUAGCGCCUCGUGAAUUCAUCUCCGGGGGUAGAGCACUGUUUCGGCAAGGGGGUCAUCCCGACUUACCAACCCGAUGCAAACUGCGAAUACCGGAGAAUGUUAUCACGGGAGACACACGGCGGGUGCUAACGUCCGUCGUGAAGAGGGAAACAACCCAGACCGCCAGCUAAGGUCCCAAAGUCAUGGUUAAGUGGGAAACGAUGUGGGAAGGCCCAGACAGCCAGGAUGUUGGCUUAGAAGCAGCCAUCAUUUAAAGAAAGCGUAAUAGCUCACUGGUCGAGUCGGCCUGCGCGGAAGAUGUAACGGGGCUAAACCAUGCACCGAAGCUGCGGCAGCGACGCUUAUGCGUUGUUGGGUAGGGGAGCGUUCUGUAAGCCUGUGAAGGUGUGCUGUGAGGCAUGCUGGAGGUAUCAGAAGUGCGAAUGCUGACAUAAGUAACGAUAAAGCGGGUGAAAAGCCCGCUCGCCGGAAGACCAAGGGUUCCUGUCCAACGUUAAUCGGGGCAGGGUGAGUCGACCCCUAAGGCGAGGCCGAAAGGCGUAGUCGAUGGGAAACAGGUUAAUAUUCCUGUACUUGGUGUUACUGCGAAGGGGGGACGGAGAAGGCUAUGUUGGCC
Molecule: ribosomal RNA, 1446 nt
Filed under: Escherichia coli
Lineage: Bacteria; Pseudomonadati; Pseudomonadota; Gammaproteobacteria; Enterobacterales; Enterobacteriaceae
Description: partial 23S ribosomal RNA
Rfam family: Bacterial large subunit ribosomal RNA
Source: RNAcentral